AGAGUUUGAUCCUGGCUCAGGAUGAACGCUGGCGGCGUGCUUAACACAUGCAAGUCGAACGAGAAUCAACGGAUUGAGGAUUCGUCCAAAUGAAGUUGAGGAAAGUGGCGGACGGGUGAGUAACGCGUGAGGAACCUGCCUCGGAGUGGGGAAUAACAGUUGGAAACAGCUGCUAAUACCGCAUGAUGCAGUUGGGCCGCAUGGCCCUGACUGCCAAAGAUUUAUCGCUCUGAGAUGGCCUCGCGUCUGAUUAGCUGGUUGGCGGGGUAGCGGCCCACCAAGGCGACGAUCAGUAGCCGGACUGAGAGGUUGGCCGGCCACAUUGGGACUGAGACACGGCCCAGACUCCUACGGGAGGCAGCAGUGGGGAAUAUUGGGCAAUGGGCGCAAGCCUGACCCAGCAACGCCGCGUGAAGGAAGAAGGCUUUCGGGUUGUAAACUUCUUUUAUUCGGGACGAAGAAAUGACGGUACCGAAUGAAUAAGCCACGGCUAACUACGUGCCAGCAGCCGCGGU
This 515-nucleotide ribosomal RNA is filed under the name uncultured chicken cecal bacterium. RNAcentral's name for it is "bacterial SSU rRNA". It matches the Rfam family "Bacterial small subunit ribosomal RNA", at positions 8 to 521 of the family's 1533-position model. The record is from RNAcentral.